GCUUUAAUAGUUUAAUUAAAACGUUGGUUUUGUAAACCAAAAUUAGGAAAUACCCUUUAAUGCU
This 64-nucleotide transfer RNA is filed under the name Heterocypris spadix. RNAcentral's name for it is "tRNA-Thr". It matches the Rfam family "tRNA". From Rfam's summary of the family: Transfer RNA (tRNA) molecules are approximately 80 nucleotides in length. Their secondary structure includes four short double-helical elements and three loops (D, anti-codon, and T loops). The record is from RNAcentral. Lineage: Eukaryota; Metazoa; Arthropoda; Ostracoda; Podocopida; Cyprididae.